UACAGAGACUGCAAGCGUUAUUCGGAUUCACUGGGCGUAAAGGGUGCGUAGGCGGCCGUGCAAGUCUGGCGUGAAAGCCCCGGGCUCAGCCCGGGAAGUGCGCUCGAAACUGCGCGGCUCGAGUGCCGGAGGGGAGAGUGGAAUUCCUGGUGUAGCGGUGAAAUGCGUAGAUAUCAGGAGGAAUACCGGUGGCGAAAGCGACUCUCUGGACGGCAACUGACGCUGAGGCACGAAAGCGUGGGGAGCAAACAGG
This 253-nucleotide ribosomal RNA is filed under the name uncultured bacterium. RNAcentral describes it as "partial 16S ribosomal RNA". It matches the Rfam family "Bacterial small subunit ribosomal RNA", at positions 524 to 776 of the family's 1533-position model. The record is from RNAcentral.